RNAcentral lists this ribosomal RNA (253 nucleotides) under uncultured bacterium. RNAcentral's name for it is "partial 16S ribosomal RNA". It matches the Rfam family "Bacterial small subunit ribosomal RNA", at positions 524 to 776 of the family's 1533-position model. The record is from RNAcentral.
GACGUAGGUGGCGAACGUUAUCCGGAAUUAUUGGGCGUAAAGAGCUCGUAGGCGGCUUGUCGCGUCGAAUGUGAAAUCUCAGGGCUCAACUCUGACAUUGCAUUCGAUACGGGCAGGCUCGAGUUCGGUAGGGGAGACUGGAAUUCCUGGUGUAGCGGUGAAAUGCGCAGAUAUCAGGAGGAACACCGGUGGCGAAGGCGGGUCUCUGGGCCGAUACUGACGCUGAGGAGCGAAAGCGUGGGGAGCGAACAGG